GCACAAGCGGUGGAGCAUGUGGUUUAAUUCGAUGCAACGCGAAAAACCUUACCCACCUUUGACAUGUACGGAAGUUACCAGAGAUGGUUUCGUGCUCGAAAGAGAACCGUAACACAGGUGCUGCAUGGCUGUCGUCAGCUCGUGUCGUGAGAUGUUGGGUUAAGUCCCGCAACGAGCGCAACCCUUGUCAUUAGUUGCUACGAAAGGGCACUCUAAUGAGACUGCCGGUGACAAACCGGAGGAAGGUGGGGAUGACGUCAAGUCCUCAUGGCCCUUAUAGGUGGGGCUACACACGUCAUACAAUGGCUGGUACAGAGGGUUGCCAACCCGCGAGGGGGAGCUAAUCCCAUAAAACCAGUCGUAGUCCGGAUCGCAGUCUGCAACUCGACUGCGUGAAGUCGGAAUCGCUAGUAAUCGCGGAUCAGAAUGUCGCGGUGAAUACGUUCCCGGGC
This 452-nucleotide ribosomal RNA is filed under the name uncultured bacterium. Its description in RNAcentral is "bacterial SSU rRNA". It matches the Rfam family "Bacterial small subunit ribosomal RNA", at positions 923 to 1379 of the family's 1533-position model. The record is from RNAcentral.